Ruditapes philippinarum (Manila clam) is the source of this 698-nucleotide long non-coding RNA. RefSeq lists it as uncharacterized. NCBI's taxonomy places the organism in Eukaryota, Metazoa, Mollusca, Bivalvia, Venerida, Veneridae. The transcript has 4 exons. The record is from RefSeq and is a predicted model, not a curated record.
UGGUUGUACCUGUGCCUUACUUUUGUUUAAAAAGUGAGGAGACGAGAUAAUAUGUUCAUUUUAGUAGCGUCAUGAAAACAGUUCUUAUACUUAUAGCGUUGGUGGUCAUUGGGCAGGCAGAUUCUGAUCCAGUAAACGAGGUCAGGGAAGAGUAUGGUCCAUUGGGCAUGGCUUUAGGACUAUCUCGAUUAGAUGCGAAGGCAACAAAAGAGCCUGACCUAGUAUGAGACAUCAUUAUUGUCUGACACCCACCAGCAUAGAGCAUCUACUACAUUGUUGUUUAUUUCCCGAACUCAUGUUGUUCGUAGAAGUAAUCAUCAAAUUCUAGAAGAAUGCUCUGGGUUCAGACAAUCGUGAAUACAUCAUGUCAUACAAUUGUAAAAUCAUUGCGAAAUGUCGGCAACAUUUCUUAUACUCUCACAAGAUUCUUUUCCAUGGAAUUCCUAGCAUUAAUAAUAUAACUAGUAGUAAAAUCUAUGUGCUUGUCAUGCAUCCUUUAUUUUGUAUAUAUAAUCAUAUUAUCUGCAAUAUAUUAUUUACAUCGUUUUUACAUUAAUAUCACAUUCAUCGUGUAAGUGUUUUUGCCAUCAUCCAGCUAAUGACUAUCGGAAACUUAAAGCUUUAAUCUAGCAUGUUCCGGUAGGAUGUGCCGUUGAUGACAAAGACAUUCCUUGUCUUAAUAAAGUAGUUAAAAUCUU